Molecule: ribosomal RNA, 503 nt
Filed under: uncultured bacterium
Lineage: Bacteria
Description: bacterial SSU rRNA
Rfam family: Bacterial small subunit ribosomal RNA
Source: RNAcentral
GAUGAACGCUAGCGGCAGGCCUAAUACAUGCAAGUCGUACGGCAACGCAGUUGCGAGCAAUCGCAACCGGUGGCGAGUGGCGCACGGGUGAGUAACGCGUAUGUAACCUACCCUUCUCCGGGACAUAACUCCGCGAAAGCGGUGCUAAUAUCCCAUACCAACUCAUCAAGACAUCUUCUUGAGUUGAAAGCAGCAAUGCGGUGAAGGAUGGGCAUGCGUCCCAUUAGCUGGUUGGUGAGGUAAUGGCCCACCAAGGCUACGAUGGGUAGGGGUUCUGAGAGGAAAGCCCCCCACACUGGUACUGAGACACGGUCCAGACUCCUACGGGGGGCAGCAGUGGGGAAUCUUCCACAAUGGGCGAAAGCCUGAUGGAGCGACGCCGCGUGAGCGAAGAAGGCCUUCGGUUGUAAGCUACUGUCUGGUAGGGACGAAGGGAGUAGACGGUACCUCCGGAGGAAGCCGACGGCGUACUACGUGCCAGCAGCCGCGGUAAACGAGUAGUA